Molecule: ribosomal RNA, 393 nt
Filed under: uncultured Lachnospiraceae bacterium
Lineage: Bacteria; Bacillati; Bacillota; Clostridia; Lachnospirales; Lachnospiraceae
Description: bacterial SSU rRNA
Rfam family: Bacterial small subunit ribosomal RNA
Source: RNAcentral
GGGGAAUAUUGCACAAUGGGAGGGAAACUCUGAUGCAGCGACGCCGCGUGAGUGAAGAAGUAUUUCGGUAUGUAAAGCUCUAUCAGCAGGGAAGAAAAUGACGGUACCUGACUAAGAAGCACCGGCUAAAUACGUGCCAGCAGCCGCGGUAAUACGUAUGGUGCAAGCGUUAUCCGGAUUUACUGGGUGUAAAGGGAGCGUAGGUGGCAAGGCAAGCCAGAAGUGAAAACCCGGGGCUCAACCGCGGGAUUGCUUUUGGAACUGUCAUGCUAGAGUGCAGGAGGGGUGAGCGGAAUUCCUAGUGUAGCGGUGAAAUGCGUAGAUAUUAGGAGGAACACCGGAGGCGAAGGCGGCUCACUGGACUGUAACUGACACUGAGGCUCGAAAGCGUGG